AGUAAGGUAGAGCAAUGGUAGCUUAUCGGGCUCAUAACCCGAAUGUUAUAGGUUCAAGUCCUAUCCUUACAA
RNAcentral lists this transfer RNA (72 nucleotides) under Candidatus Vidania fulgoroideorum. Its description in RNAcentral is "tRNA-Met". It matches the Rfam family "tRNA". Rfam says of the family: Transfer RNA (tRNA) molecules are approximately 80 nucleotides in length. Their secondary structure includes four short double-helical elements and three loops (D, anti-codon, and T loops). The record is from RNAcentral. Lineage: Bacteria; Pseudomonadati; Pseudomonadota; Betaproteobacteria.